GGGUUGUGAGGUUAAGCGACUAAGCGUACACGGUGGAUGCCCUGGCAGUCAGAGGCGAUGAAGGACGUGCUAAUCUGCGAAAAGCGUCGGUAAGGUGAUAUGAACCGUUAUAACCGGCGAUGUCCGAAUGGGGAAACCCAGUGUGAUUCGUCACACUAUCGUUAACUGAAUACAUAGGUUAACGAGGCGAACCGGGGGAACUGAAACAUCUAAGUACCCCGAGGAAAAGAAAUCAACCGAGAUUCCCCCAGUAGCGGCGAGCGAACGGGGAGCAGCCCAGAGUCUGAAUCAGCUUGUGUGUUAGUGGAACGGUCUGGAAAGUCCGACGGUACAGGGUGAUAGUCCCGUACACCAAAAUGCACAGGUUGUGAACUCGAAGAGUAGGGCGGGACACGUGGUAUCCUGUCUGAAUAUGGGGGGACCAUCCUCCAAGGCUAAAUACUCCUGACUGACCGAUAGUGAACCAGUACCGUGAGGGAAAGGCGAAAAGAACCCCGGCGAGGGGAGUGAAAAAGAACCUGAAACCGUGUACGUACAAGCAGUGGGAGCACCUUCGGGUGUGACUGCGUACCUUUUGUAUAAUGGGUCAGCGACUUAUAUUCUGUAGCAAGGUUAACCGUAUAGGGGAGCCGCAGGGAAACCGAGUCUUAACUGGGCGUUAAGUUGCAGGGUAUAGACCCGAAACCCGGUGAUCUAGCCAUGGGCAGGUUGAAGGUUGGGUAACACUAACUGGAGGACCGAACCGACUAAUGUUGAAAAAUUAGCGGAUGACUUGUGGCUGGGGGUGAAAGGCCAAUCAAACCGGGAGAUAGCUGGUUCUCCCCGAAAGCUAUUUAGGUAGCGCCUCGUGAACUCAUCUUCGGGGGUAGAGCACUGUUUCGGCUAGGGGGUCAUCCCGACUUACCAACCCGAUGCAAACUACGAAUACCGAAGAAUGUUAUCACGGGAGACACACGGCGGGUGCUAACGUCCGUCGUGAAGAGGGAAACAACCCAGACCGCCAGCUAAGGUCCCAAAGUCAUGGUUAAGUGGGAAACGAUGUGGGAAGGCACAGACAGCCAGGAUGUUGGCUUAGAAGCAGCCAUCAUUUAAAGAAAGCGUAAUAGCUCACUGGUCGAGUCGGCCUGCGCGGAAGAUGUAACGGGGCUAAACCAUGCACCGAAGCUGCGGCAGCGACACUAUGUGUUGUUGGGUAGGGGAGCGUUCUGUAAGCCUGCGAAGGUGGCCUGUGAGGGUUGCUGGAGGUAUCAGAAGUGCGAAUGCUGACAUAAGUAACGAUAAAGCGGGUGAAAAGCCCGCUCGCCGGAAGACCAAGGGUUCCUGUCCAACGUUAAUCGGGGCAGGGUGAGUCGACCCCUAAGGCGAGGCCGAAAGGCGUAGUCGAUGGGAAACAGGUUAAUAUUCCUGUACUUGGUGUUACUGCGAAGGGGGGACGGAGAAGGCUAUGUUAGCCGGGCGACGGUUGUCCCGGUUUAAGCAUGUAGGCGGAGGUUCCAGGUAAAUCCGGUACCUUUUAACGCUGAGGUGUGAUGACGAGGCACUACGGUGCUGAAGUAACAAAUGCCCUGCUUCCAGGAAAAGCCUCUAAGCAUCAGGUAACAUUAAAUCGUACCCCAAACCGACACAGGUGGUCAGGUAGAGAAUACCAAGGCGCUUGAGAGAACUCGGG
Molecule: ribosomal RNA, 1669 nt
Filed under: Klebsiella variicola
Lineage: Bacteria; Pseudomonadati; Pseudomonadota; Gammaproteobacteria; Enterobacterales; Enterobacteriaceae
Description: bacterial LSU rRNA
Rfam family: Bacterial large subunit ribosomal RNA
Source: RNAcentral